CCUACGGGAGGCAGCAGUGAGGAAUAUUGGUCAAUGGGCGCGAGCCUGAACCAGCCAAGUCGCGUGAAGGAUGACUGCCCUACGGGUUGUAAACUUCUUUUAUAAAGGAAUAAAGUGAGGCACGUGUGCCUUUUUGAAUGUCCUUUAUGAAUAAGGAUCGGCUAACUCCGUGCCAGCAGCCGCGGUAAUACGGAGGAUUCGAGCGUUAUCCGGAUUUAUUGGGUUUAAAGGGAGCGUAGAUGGGUUUGUAAGUCAGUUGUGAAAGUGUGCGGCUCAACCGUAAGAUUGCAAUUGAUACUGGCAGUCUUGAGUGCAGGUGAGGUAGGCGGAAUUCGUGGUGUAGCGGUGAAAUGCUUAGAUAUCACGAAGAACUCCGAUGGCGAAGGCAGCUUACUAAACUGCCACUGACAUUGAGGCGCGAAAGUGUGGGUAUCAAACAGGAUUAGAUACCCCUGUAGUC
Molecule: ribosomal RNA, 460 nt
Filed under: uncultured bacterium
Lineage: Bacteria
Description: partial 16S ribosomal RNA
Rfam family: Bacterial small subunit ribosomal RNA
Source: RNAcentral